This is a non-coding RNA of Drosophila virilis, 697 nucleotides long. The record is from RefSeq and is a predicted model, not a curated record. Lineage: Eukaryota; Metazoa; Arthropoda; Insecta; Diptera; Drosophilidae.
AGAUUUUAAAAUCAAGAGUCGCCUAGUUUGACAUGUAACUUAAAGAAUAGUAUUAAUAAAUUAAUUAUCUUUUAGUUCAUAGCUGUCGCCUGGCGAAGGUUAAGGUAUUCCCAGGCCAGGCUAGACUAAAUCACUCUUACUUGUCUUCUUUUGCUAUGGUAGUUGUAAAGGCCUCGAUGCAAAAAGAACAUAAACGCACGUUUAAUCAAUGCUGGGAUAACACUUUUUGUGCCGGCGCCGAAAAUUUGGUAAACAGAAAUGUUACAUAGCCACUUGCAAAUGUGGCAAAGAAGGUGCAUGCGUCCAAGUCAAAGUUAUGCAAGAAUGCGCUCAAUGUGCGAAGUUAAGCAGAGAGAUGCGAACUUGGCAAGGCCAAACCUGCAGGAAUAUCGCAGUUGUGUACAAUCACCGACAACACAAUAUUUGGUUCAAGUUGUACAACAAAUUUAAAAGCCUUAUCUUUUGAUAUUAGGCUCGUUAACUAUAAUAAUAUUUAGACUCAAAAGAUAUAAAAAAUAUUAAUAAUUGACCCCUUACGGAACAGAUUUUUUCAAUUAAUUCCUCUGUUGGUUCCAUAUUCUUGUAUAACUUGGGUGUUCUUAGUUCGAUCUUUGUGAAAUUUUUGAUGCUUAAAAGUGACAUCCAGAUGAUGUGUAUAUACAAAUUAUGCGAAUAAUAUACGAAAUUGUAAACCUCA